GCCCCGGCUCAGCCUGCCCAAAUGGAGCCUGAGCCUGGAGCCCCCAGCUCAGGUGAAAGGUUCUCUCUAAAUUGCCUGGGACUAUUUGUAGCUUGGGGCAUUUGGGUGAUAACUGGAAAGAGGGUCCCUUGGGCACACCCUGCACUGCCGGGACGGAAACCUUGCACCCGCCUGUUCCCCUGGGCGGUCUGGACAGAUGCACGGCCAGGAGGGGCCAGGUGGCUCUGCUGGGCAUCCUCACCACCGGCUCCCGGACGGGCCCAGCCCUCGCCCCUUCCUGCACCUCUCACCCACCGGCCAGGGGGCCCGGCGCGCCCCGGUCUUAGCCCACUGUGGCAGGGAAGGGAGAGGGCCCUCCGGGAAGCGUGUCGUCAGCCGUGAGGAGGGACCGAGGUGGUGUCUCUGGAAGUUUCUCUGGCCGCCCCCCUCUCUGAUGACGCGUCCCUGGCCACUGCUCCGGAGGCACCUCGGGGGAGUCCUGGAGGGACUGCUCUGGGCCAGAGAGCUCCGGGAAAGCUCGAUGAAAGGAAGCAGAGCUCCGAGGAAACGGGACCCUUGGUGACAGACAGCAGCGUUGCCUGGCUCCUUUAAGGGCAGAGUGGACGAGUCAGGAAGGAAUGCAAUAAAAAUGCCUGGGCUGA
Molecule: long non-coding RNA, 641 nt
Organism: Suricata suricatta (meerkat)
Lineage: Eukaryota; Metazoa; Chordata; Mammalia; Carnivora; Herpestidae
Exons: 3
Source: RefSeq, a predicted model, not a curated record